UAAUCUGAUCCCGCCCCUCAUAGUUCCGCCCCUGGCCUGAAGCAAAUUCAACACGACGCGAAAAUGAAGUGAAACACUCGGUCGUUCUGAGAGGGCGGAGUGGUGGAGGCAGAAUCUUGCAGGAAAGAGGAAGAAGAAGCCUGAUAUAUAAAGAGCGCGGGAGAGAGUCCCCGCGCGCGCGAGAGCGCGUGAGACGCCUCACAAAAAUCCGCAGGUGGAUCAUUGGAGCUUCGUGUGUCUUCACAAUGGCAGACAGAGUUCUACUGUCGUUGGUGGCUGGUGUGUUUAUUUUGAGCAUCUCCAAUGCAGAAUCUCGAACUCCAAUCAUGGACCUGACCUUGCCAGACCCAUACACAACAGUCAACACUCAAAAUGUUUUCAGUCCACCGGUGGGAAACACAACCCAGGAUAAAAAUGCAACUUUCACUCACAGAAUGAAUGAAACCAUGGAAGGAAACAACACGACGUUGGUUAGUUGUACAGCUUGCACUAAAACGGCAGAGACAAAUGUCACAAAUGGUAACUUCUCUUCUGAGAAUUCCACCACUGAAGUAUAUGCAACUACUGCGAAUUACACUGUUACACCAACAUCCUCAAAUACUUCAAAUCCAACAGCGAUAUUUACUUCAACGAUGAGCAGUACAACACAGCAAGUCACCACAGUGAGCAUCUCGUCUUUGCCAAUGGUUGUACAUACGUCUCCCAUCACCACCACCACCACCACCACCACCACCACCACCACCGCAUCACGGACAACUACACCACAGAAAGCAAAGAUGAUCACUUCCAAACCGGGACCACCAGUUAUGACCCCAAAGGCUUCCGGCCAUGCUGCAGGUGUUGUUCUGAGCAUCGUGCUGGCAUUCACGUUUGCAGUUUUGCUUGUAAUCAUCAUCCGCCGACGACUCAACAUCCGCAGACAAUUCCAACAUCAGCGGUUGGAAGAUAUGGAGGAAGAUCUGUAGCUGGAGUGGAGAACACAGAUGCAAUGAGUGGGCAGGUGCCCAUCAUUUUGGCUGCUUUAUGCUCCCAAGUUUGUUUCUUGCACAUUUAUAUAGGCUUUCAAUUUCCUUAUGAUCUGCACUCUUUUUACCAUUGGGGUUCAUUCCAAAACUCCUUCAUUCGGCUGUGCUUUAUACUGCUUUGCAAGAAAAUCUGUCGAUGAAGGUGCUUCAUGUGAUUUGUUAUUUAACCGAAUGCACUGUCUUCACCAGCCUUUGCACUGUAUCCUGUGGCCUGUGGCUAGUUGCUAUUGUAAUUAGACUUUUCAUUGUUAUCGUUUUUAAUUUACAUCCUCACCUCAGGGGUUAGUUUUAUGGAAAGAAAGAGGCUUAUAAAUAAAACUUGGAAAAUUGUUGUCGGUGGUUUUGUCCACUUUUUGAGGAUGCAAAGGUAAACAAAGUUAAAAUAUAACCAUGAGCAUACUUAAUAUUGAUUGUUAACAAUAUUGUUUUAGCUUUUUUAUCUAUUUAUUUUUCCACACUUUUCUGUUGAAUUGAGUUGAGUAGCAAGUGCAUUGGCAUUUUGAUAAAUGAAACAAGUGAUCCCAAGUUUAUAUAGAUGACAAGAUGAGUGACCCAAUCAAACCUUGGUUUCUUAGACUUCAGUAAAGCAUCGAGAAGAUUGUUGUUAGCUUGGAUUAAAUUAUAAAUAAGCAAUGUCAUAAAUACAAGAACAUGGUGGAAAGGAGGGGAGCACACCGGGUAGAGUGAUACAACAGAGGGAACUUGGUGCAAGAAUGGGUGAUGGGGAGAAAUAUCCGGGGGGGGAAGGGACGUCUGAGCCCAGAAAUCAUACACGUAUAACAAAAAUUAACUCAGGAGUGCAACAUUGCAAUGAUGGGCCAAAUGUCCUAAUUUUUUGUUUAAAUUUGUACAGGAUUGUGUGACCACGAGUUAGACUCUGUCGUCCAAUGGAGACAGAGUGAGGACCCUUUGUAUGGAGGCUCUUCAUAUAAUAAUUUCCUUCUGCAUGUAGAAAAUAUAUUUGAAUGCAAUAGGUUUGAUUUCUGAUCAAGAAGAUUGAUGUUUAGAGGUGUAGCAAAAAUUAACUCUGGACGGCAACAUGGGAGGAUCAAACAAACCAGCUGCGGUAUCUUGGUUACUGAUGCUGGCCUGCCACUGAUGCCCUAGCUCUGGUUGUGCACUGUACGCUUGUGCUCAAAAUGUUUCACAAUAAAUUGAAUGGUGCAAUCUGUGGGUCCAUCACGUGUUCUGAGAUGGUAUUCCGGCAGAACCUCCAGCCGGUGUCUACAUAUGAUUUAGUCUCAUACCACAGAGCCACCACUUCUGUCUUCUGCUUCACUGUCAAUGGCAUAGAUGAGCUAUGGAGCUAGAAAUCCCAGGGAACAAAUCCCAUGACAACACCACCAAACCUUGAAAAGAAAAACGGUAUAGGUGAAAAAACAAAAAAGUGGUAGGAAGUAAAAUCAUUUGCAGAGGAAUUCA
Long non-coding RNA from Eptatretus burgeri (inshore hagfish), 2447 nucleotides. NCBI's taxonomy places the organism in Eukaryota, Metazoa, Chordata, Myxini, Myxiniformes, Myxinidae. The record is from Ensembl.